This is a non-coding RNA of Mycena alexandri, 91 nucleotides long. The record is from the annotation of a GenBank genome assembly. Lineage: Eukaryota; Fungi; Basidiomycota; Agaricomycetes; Agaricales; Mycenaceae.
GCGGGUGUGGUGUAUGGUACAUGGCUGCCCUUCCUGAUCGUACUGGCGUUGAAAGUUGCAGCAGAACCGGGUUCGAUUCCUGGUAUCCGCA